RNAcentral lists this long non-coding RNA (517 nucleotides) under Homo sapiens (human). RNAcentral describes it as "PREDICTED lncRNA (TCONS_00029115)". Lineage: Eukaryota; Metazoa; Chordata; Mammalia; Primates; Hominidae. The record is from RNAcentral.
CACAAAGCCAGCGUCUUAGAAUAGACUCAGCCUAAACAGGCGCUCACUUCCCACAGAGUUCCCAGCAGGAGGUGGCAGGACAGCUAGGUCUGCUGUGGGUCUUGGCUCCCCAUUCACACUAAAGGCUGAAUGCUCUGUGGCCAGUUCUCAAUUUGGACCAUGCUUUCCUGUCACAGCAGCCCAGACUACCCUCUGUCACCCAGCCCAGGAUGAGUGUAUCUGUUACCCCCAGGUUGACACUGCAAAAUCUGAAAAUGGCUCACUAUGCAGAGACAGUGCAGGGCAGGAGUGGAGUCCGAUCUCCAGAACCAGGCUUGAAUUCUGACACUGGGACAUCCUUGCUAUGUGACUCCGACCAAUUCACUUGACCUCUCUGGACUUGGCAUAAGAAGGGGAGAAUAGAAAUAUCUGUCACAUGGGGUUGCUGUAAGGAUUGAAGUGUGCCUAUCACUAUUCAAUAUUCAAUACAUAUUAGUUUUUACUAAUCUAAAAAAUAAAAUGUAAAAAUAAGAAAGGG